This 255-nucleotide ribosomal RNA is filed under the name uncultured bacterium. RNAcentral describes it as "partial 16S ribosomal RNA". It matches the Rfam family "Bacterial small subunit ribosomal RNA", at positions 99 to 354 of the family's 1533-position model. The record is from RNAcentral.
CGGACGGGUGAGUAACGCGUGGAGAACCUGCCGUAUACUGGGGGAUAACACUUAGAAAUAGGUGCUAAUACCGCAUAAGCGCACAGCUUCGCAUGAAACAGUGUGAAAAACUCCGGUGGUAUACGAUGGAUCCGCGUCUGAUUAGCUGGUUGGCGGGGUAACAGCCCACCAAGGCGACGAUCAGUAGCCGGCCUGAGAGGGUGAACGGCCACAUUGGGACUGAGACACGGCCCAAACUCCUACGGAAGGCAGCAG